GACGAACGCUGGCGGCGCGCCUAACACAUGCAAGUCGAACGAGCGAGAGAGAGCUUGCUUUCUCGAGCGAGUGGCGAACGGGUGAGUAACGCGUGAGGAACCUGCCUCAAAGAGGGGGACAACAGUUGGAAACGACUGCUAAUACCGCAUAAGCCCACAGCUCGGCAUCGAGCAGAGGGAAAAGGAGCAAUCCGCUUUGAGAUGGCCUCGCGUCCGAUUAGCUAGUUGGUGAGGUAACGGCCCACCAAGGCGACGAUCGGUAGCCGGACUGAGAGGUUGAACGGCCACAUUGGGACUGAGACACGGCCCAGACUCCUACGGGAGGCAGCAGUGGGGAAUAUUGCACAAUGGGGGAAACCCUGAUGCAGCGACGCCGCGUGGAGGAAGAAGGUCUUCGGAUUGUAAACUCCUGUUGUUGAGGAAGAUAAUGACGGUACUCAACAAGGAAGUGACGGCUAACUACGUGCCAGCAGCCGCGGUAAAACGUAGGUCACAAGCGUUGUCCGGAAUUACUGGGUGUAAAGGGAGCGCAGGCGGGAAGGCAAGUUGGAAGUGAAAUCCAUGGGCUCAACCCAUGAACUGCUUUCAAAACUGUUUUUCUUGAGUAGUGCAGAGGUAGGCGGAAUUCCCGGUGUAGCGGUGGAAUGCGUAGAUAUCGGGAGGAACACCAGUGGCGAAGGCGGCCUACUGGGCACCAACUGACGCUGAGGCUCGAAAGUGUGGGUAGCAAACAGGAUUAGAUACCCUGGUAGUCCACACUGUAAACGAUGAUUACUAGGUGUUGGAGGAUUGACCCCUUCAGUGCCGCAGUUAACACAAUAAGUAAUCCACCUGGGGAGUACGACCGCAAGGUUGAAACUCAAAGGAAUUGACGGGGGCCCGCACAAGCAGUGGAGUAUGUGGUUUAAUUCGACGCAACGCGAAGAACCUUACCAAGUCUUGACAUCCUGCGACGGUGCUGGAAACAGUACUUUCCUUCGGGACGCAGAGACAGGUGGUGCAUGGUUGUCGUCAGCUCGUGUCGUGAGAUGUUGGGUUAAGUCCCGCAACGAGCGCAACCCUUAUGGUCAGUUACUACGCAAGAGGACUCUGGCCAGACUGCCGUUGACAAAACGGAGGAAGGUGGGGAUGACGUCAAAUCAUCAUGCCCUUUAUGACUUGGGCUACACACGUACUACAAUGGCGUUAAACAAAGAGAAGCAAGACCGCGAGGUGGAGCAAAACUCAGAAACAACGUCCCAGUUCGGACUGCAGGCUGCAACUCGCCUGCACGAAGUCGGAAUUGCUGGUAAUCGCAGAUCAGCAUGCUGCGGUGAAUACGUUCCCGGGCCUUGCAC
RNAcentral lists this ribosomal RNA (1337 nucleotides) under uncultured bacterium. RNAcentral describes it as "16S ribosomal RNA". It matches the Rfam family "Bacterial small subunit ribosomal RNA", at positions 28 to 1386 of the family's 1533-position model. The record is from RNAcentral.